GAACGUCGUGAGACAGUUCGGUCCAUAUCCGGUGUGGGCGUUAGAGUAUUGAGAGGAUUCUUCUUUAGUACGAGAGGACCGAGAAGAACAGACCUCUGGUGUACCAGUUAUCGUGCCAACGGUAAACGCUGGGUAGCUAAGUCUGGAAAGGAUAACCGCUGAAAGCAUCUAAGUGGGAAGCCCGCCUCGAGAUGAGUACUCUCAUCCUUUAAGGAGUAAGGUCACGGCAAGACUAGCCGUUUUGAUAGGCAUUAGGUCGAAGUGUAGUAAUAUAUGAAGCCGAGAUGUACUAAUAGACCGAGGACUUG
Molecule: ribosomal RNA, 308 nt
Filed under: uncultured Florenciella
Lineage: Eukaryota; Dictyochophyceae; Florenciellales
Description: partial Bacterial large subunit ribosomal RNA
Rfam family: Bacterial large subunit ribosomal RNA
Source: RNAcentral